RNAcentral lists this small nuclear RNA (181 nucleotides) under Echinops telfairi (small Madagascar hedgehog). Its description in RNAcentral is "U2 spliceosomal RNA (ENSETEG00000022145.1)". It matches the Rfam family "U2 spliceosomal RNA". Rfam says of the family: U2 is a small nuclear RNA (snRNA) component of the spliceosome (involved in pre-mRNA splicing). Complementary binding between U2 snRNA (in an area lying towards the 5' end but 3' to hairpin I) and the branchpoint sequence (BPS) of the intron results the bulging out of an unpaired adenosine, on the BPS, which initiates a nucleophilic attack at the intronic 5' splice site, thus starting the first of two transesterification reactions that mediate splicing. The record is from RNAcentral. Lineage: Eukaryota; Metazoa; Chordata; Mammalia; Afrosoricida; Tenrecidae.
AUCGCUUCUCGGCCUUUUGGCUAAGAUCAAGUGUAGUAUCUGUUCUUAUCAGUUUAAUAUCUGAUCCGUCCUCUAUCCAAGGACAGUAUAUCCGAGGAACAGGGAGAUGGAACAGGAGUUGCUCCGUCCACUCCACCCAUCGCCCUGGUAUUGCAGUGCUUCCAGGAUGAGUGCAUCCUCU